RNAcentral lists this ribosomal RNA (521 nucleotides) under uncultured bacterium. Its description in RNAcentral is "bacterial SSU rRNA". It matches the Rfam family "Bacterial small subunit ribosomal RNA", at positions 777 to 1297 of the family's 1533-position model. The record is from RNAcentral.
AAUAGAUACCAGGUAGUCCACGCCGUAAACGUUGGGCGCUAGAUGUGGGGACCAUUCCACGGUUUCCGCGUCGUAGCUAACGCAUUAAGCGCCCCGCCUGGGGAGUACGGCCGCAAGGCUAAAACUCAAAGGAAUUGACGGGGGCCCGCACAAGCGGCGGAGCAUGCGGAUUAAUUCGAUGCAACGCGAAGAACCUUACCAAGGCUUGACAUAUGCGAGAACGCUCUAGAAAUAGAGAACUCUUUGGACACUCGUAUACAGGUGGUGCAUGGUUGUCGUCAGCUCGUGUCGUGAGAUGUUGGGUUAAGUCCCGCAACGAGCGCAACCCUCGUCGCAUGUUGCCAGCACGUAAUGGUGGGAACUCAUGUGAGACUGCCGGGGUCAACUCGGAGGAAGGUGGGGAUGACGUCAAAUCAUCAUGCCCCUUAUGUCUUGGGCUUCACGCAUGCUACAAUGGCCGGUACAAAGGGCUGCGAAACCGCAAGGUGGAGCGAAUCCCAAAAAGCCGGUCUCAGUUCGGA